Molecule: ribosomal RNA, 708 nt
Filed under: Alexandrium tamarense
Lineage: Eukaryota; Dinophyceae; Gonyaulacales; Pyrocystaceae
Description: LSU rRNA
Rfam family: Eukaryotic large subunit ribosomal RNA
Source: RNAcentral
ACCCGCUGAAUUUAAGCAUAUAAGUAAGUGGUGGAAAUUAAACCAAAUGGGAUAUCUUUAGUAAUUGCGAAUGAACAAGGAUAUGCUUAGCUUGACAAAUGGAGCUAUUGGCUUUGAAUUGUAUUUGUGGAAUGUAUUACCAACAGAGGUGCAGGUGCCAGCCUAUUGAAAUAAAGCGUCAAUGAGGGUGAGAAUCCUGUUUGUCAUGUGCAGCCCUUUGUGCACGGUGUAUAUUUGCUGAGUCACACUCCUUGGCAUUGGAAUGCAAAGUGGGUGGUAAGUUUCAUGUACAGGUAAACAUGCAAUUGAGACUGAUAGCACACAAGUACCAUGAGGGAAAUAUGAAAAGGACUUUGAAAAGAGAAUUAAAUGAGUUUGUAUUUGCUGAACACAAAGUAAACAGACUUGAUUUGCUUGGUGGGAGUGUUGCACUUGCUUGACAAGAGCUUUGGGCUGUGGGUGUAAUGAUUAUUUCUUUGCAUGCCAGUUUCUAUGUGUACAUCUGAUUACCUUUGCACAUGAAUGAUAAGUCUCCUGUGGGGGGUGGAUUGCAUGUGCAUGUAAUGAUUUGUGUUUUGAUAAAUGUGUCUGGUGUAUGUGUGUGUGCUCCUGUGCUUGGGGAUGCUUCCUUCCUUGGACUUACAAGCCCUGACACACACAUGCUGGCAAAAUGCUUCUGCUUGACCCGUCUUGAAACACGGACCAAGG